AACCCAGUGCAAUUCGUUGCACUAUCGUUAACUGAAUACAUAGGUUAACGAGGCGAACCGGGGGAACUGAAACAUCUAAGUACCCCGAGGAAAAGAAAUCAACCGAGAUUCCCCCAGUAGCGGCGAGCGAACGGGGAGCAGCCCAGAGUCUGAAUCAGCUUGUGUGUUAGUGGAACGGUCUGGAAAGUCCGACGGUACAGGGUGAUAGUCCCGUACACCAAAAUGCACAGGUUGUGAACUCGAAGAGUAGGGCGGGACACGUGGUAUCCUGUCUGAAUAUGGGGGGACCAUCCUCCAAGGCUAAAUACUCCUGACUGACCGAUAGUGAACCAGUACCGUGAGGGAAAGGCGAAAAGAACCCCGGCGAGGGGAGUGAAAAAGAACCUGAAACCGUGUACGUACAAGCAGUGGGAGCACCUUCGGGUGUGACUGCGUACCUUUUGUAUAAUGGGUCAGCGACUUAUAUUCUGUAGCAAGGUUAACCGUAUAGGGGAGCCGCAGGGAAACCGAGUCUUAACUGGGCGUUAAGUUGCAGGGUAUAGACCCGAAACCCGGUGAUCUAGCCAUGGGCAGGUUGAAGGUUGGGUAACACUAACUGGAGGACCGAACCGACUAAUGUUGAAAAAUUAGCGGAUGACUUGUGGCUGGGGGUGAAAGGCCAAUCAAACCGGGAGAUAGCUGGUUCUCCCCGAAAGCUAUUUAGGUAGCGCCUCGUGAAUUCAUCUUCGGGGGUAGAGCACUGUUUCGGCUAGGGGGUCAUCCCGACUUACCAACCCGAUGCAAACUACGAAUACCGAAGAAUGUUAUCACGGGAGACACACGGCGGGUGCUAACGUCCGUCGUGAAGAGGGAAACAACCCAGACCGCCAGCUAAGGUCCCAAAGUCAUGGUUAAGUGGGAAACGAUGUGGGAAGGCACAGACAGCCAGGAUGUUGGCUUAGAAGCAGCCAUCAUUUAAAGAAAGCGUAAUAGCUCACUGGUCGAGUCGGCCUGCGCGGAAGAUGUAACGGGGCUAAACCAUGCACCGAAGCUGCGGCAGCGACACUAUGUGUUGUUGGGUAGGGGAGCGUUCUGUAAGCCUGCGAAGGUGACCUGUGAGGGUUGCUGGAGGUAUCAGAAGUGCGAAUGCUGACAUAAGUAACGAUAAAGCGGGUGAAAAGCCCGCUCGCCGGAAGACCAAGGGUUCCUGUCCAACGUUAAUCGGGGCAGGGUGAGUCGACCCCUAAGGCGAGGCCGAAAGGCGUAGUCGAUGGGAAACAGGUUAAUAUUCCUGUACUUGGUGUUACUGCGAAGGGGGGACGGAGAAGGCUAUGUUAGCCGGGCGACGGUUGUCCCGGUUUAAGCAUGUAGGCUGGUUGUCCAGGCAAAUCCGGAUAAUCAAGGCUGAGGUGUGAUGACGAGGCACUACGGUGCUGAAGUAACAAAUGCCCUGCUUCCAGGAAAAGCCUCUAAGCAUCAGGUAACAUCAAAUCGUACCCCAAACCGACACAGGUGGUCAGGUAGAGAAUACCAAGGCGCUUGAGAGAACUCGGGUGAAGGAACUAGGCAAAAUGGUGCCGUAACUUCGGGAGAAGG
Molecule: ribosomal RNA, 1575 nt
Filed under: Klebsiella pneumoniae subsp. pneumoniae
Lineage: Bacteria; Pseudomonadati; Pseudomonadota; Gammaproteobacteria; Enterobacterales; Enterobacteriaceae
Description: partial 23S ribosomal RNA
Rfam family: Bacterial large subunit ribosomal RNA
Source: RNAcentral